Molecule: non-coding RNA, 122 nt
Filed under: Candidatus Faecaligallichristensenella faecipullorum
Lineage: Bacteria; Bacillati; Bacillota; Clostridia
Description: FMN riboswitch (RFN element)
Rfam family: FMN riboswitch aptamer (RFN element)
About the family: The RFN element is a highly conserved domain that is found frequently in the 5'-untranslated regions of prokaryotic mRNAs that encode for flavin mononucleotide (FMN) biosynthesis and transport proteins. This element is a metabolite-dependent riboswitch that directly binds FMN in the absence of proteins.
Source: RNAcentral
AUCUUCAGGGCAGGGUGAAACUCCCUACCGGCGGUAAAGCCCGCGAGCCGAAAGGCAGAUUCGGUGUAACUCCGAAGCCGACAGUGAACCGGUUUUCCGGAAAAGUCUGGAUGGAAGAAGAG